GUGCCAGCAGCCGCGGUAAGACGGAGGAGGCUAGCGUUGUUCGGAAUUACUGGGCGUAAAGCGCGCGCAGGCGGUCCUGCAAGUCAGGGGUGAAAGCCCGGGGCUCAACCUCGGAACUGCCCUUGAGACUGCGGGACUCGAGACCGGGAGAGGAGAGUGGAAUUCCCAGUGUAGAGGUGAAAUUCGUAGAUAUUGGGAAGAACACCAGUGGCGAAGGCGGCUCUCUGGCCCGGUACUGACGCUGAGGCGCGAAAGCGUGGGGAGCAAACAGGAUUAGAUACCCUCGUAGUCC
Molecule: ribosomal RNA, 292 nt
Filed under: uncultured bacterium
Lineage: Bacteria
Description: partial 16S ribosomal RNA
Rfam family: Bacterial small subunit ribosomal RNA
Source: RNAcentral